AGUGAACGCUGGCGGCGUGCCUAACACAUGCAAGUCGAACGAUGAAGAGCAGCUUGCUGCUCGGAUUAGUGGCGCACGGGUGAGUAAUGCAUAGGUAAUGUGCCCCUUAGUCUGGGAUAGCCACUGGAAACGGUGAUUAAUACUAGAUACUCCUUCUUGUCUUAAGGCAAGUCGGGAAAGUUUUUCGCUAAGGGAUCAGCCUAUGUCCUAUCAGGUAGUUGGUGAGGUAACGGCUCACCAAGCCAAUGACGGGUAUCUGGUUUGAGAGGAUGAUCAGACACACUGGAACUGAGACACGGUCCAGACUCCUACGGGAGGCAGCAGUGAGGAAUAUUGCACAAUGGAGGAAACUCUGAUGCAGCAACGCCGCGUGAGGAUGACGCAUUUCGGUGUGUAAACUCCUUUUAAGGGGGAAGAUUAUGACGGUACCUCUUGAAUAAGCACCGGCUAACUCCGUGCCAGCCGCCGCCGUAA
This 474-nucleotide ribosomal RNA is filed under the name uncultured bacterium. RNAcentral describes it as "partial 16S ribosomal RNA". It matches the Rfam family "Bacterial small subunit ribosomal RNA", at positions 29 to 523 of the family's 1533-position model. The record is from RNAcentral.